This 271-nucleotide ribosomal RNA is filed under the name uncultured archaeon. Its description in RNAcentral is "partial 16S ribosomal RNA". It matches the Rfam family "Archaeal small subunit ribosomal RNA", at positions 477 to 747 of the family's 1478-position model. The record is from RNAcentral.
CGGCGGCCCGAGUGGUAACCACUAUUAUUGGGUCUAAAGGGUCCGUAGCCGGUUUGAUCAGUCUUCCGGGAAAUCUGACAGCUCAACUGUUAGGCUUCUGGGGGAUACUGUCAGACUUGGGACCGGGAGAGGUAAGAGGUACUACAGGGGUAGGAGUGAAAUCUUGUAAUCCCUGUGGGACCACCAGUGGCGAAGGCGUCUUACCAGAACGGGUCCGACGGUGAGGGACGAAAGCUGGGGGCACGAACCGGAUUAGAUACCCGAGUAGUCC